GACGAACGCUGGCGGCGUGGAUUAGGCAUGCAAGUCGGACGGUAGGGCUUUAUCGUAAGAUAGAGUUUGAGAGUGGCGAACGGGUGAGUAACACGUAGGAAUCUACCCUUAAGACGGGGACAACCCAGGGAAACUUGGGCUAAUACCGGAUGAGAGUGCGAGAGAUUGCAUUUAAAAGGAUGGCGAAAGUUGUCGCUUAGGGAUGAGCCUGCGGUCUAUUAGUUAGUUGGUGAGGUAAGAGCUCACCAAGGCGAUGAUAGAUAGGCGGCCUUAACGGGUGGUCGCCCACACUGGGAUUGAGAUACGGCCCAGACUCCUACGGGAGGCAGCAGUGGGGAAUAUUGGACAAUGGGCGAAAGCCUGAUCCAGCAAAUGCCGCGUGAAGUGAUGAAGGCCUUAGGGUUGUAAAGCUCUUUUACCAGGGAUGAUAAUGACAGUACCUGGAGAAUAAGCUCCGGCUAAACUCCGUG
This 470-nucleotide ribosomal RNA is filed under the name uncultured bacterium. RNAcentral's name for it is "bacterial SSU rRNA". It matches the Rfam family "Bacterial small subunit ribosomal RNA", at positions 28 to 507 of the family's 1533-position model. The record is from RNAcentral.